RNAcentral lists this ribosomal RNA (207 nucleotides) under uncultured bacterium. Its description in RNAcentral is "partial 16S ribosomal RNA". It matches the Rfam family "Bacterial small subunit ribosomal RNA", at positions 568 to 774 of the family's 1533-position model. The record is from RNAcentral.
UGCGCAGGCUGGCAUGAAAGUAUUGUGUGAAAUCCCACGGCUCAACCGUGGAACUGCACAGUAAACUUCAUGCCUUGAGGUCGGUAGGGGCUGCCGGAACUCUAGGUGGAGCGGUGAAAUGCGUAGAUAUCUAGAGGAACGCCAAAGACGAAGGUAGGCAGCUGGGCCGAUUCUGACGCUCAGGCACGAAAGCAUGGGUAGCGAACG